RNAcentral lists this ribosomal RNA (483 nucleotides) under uncultured bacterium. RNAcentral's name for it is "bacterial SSU rRNA". It matches the Rfam family "Bacterial small subunit ribosomal RNA", at positions 23 to 507 of the family's 1533-position model. The record is from RNAcentral.
CUCAGAUUGAACGCUGGCGGAAUGCUUUACACAUGCAAGUCGAACGGUAGAGGGGGCAACCCUUGAGAGUGGCGAACGGGUGAGUAAUAUAUCGGAACGUGCCCAGUCGUGGGGAUAACGUAGCGAAAGUUACGCUAAUACCGCAUACGAUCUAAGGAUGAAAGCGGGGGAUCGCAAGACCUCGCGCGAUUGGAGCGGCCGAUAUCAGAUUAGGUAGUUGGUGGGGUAAAGGCUCACCAAGCCAACGAUCUGUAGCUGGUCUGAGAGGACGACCAGCCACACUGGAACUGAGACACGGUCCAGACUCCUACGGGAGGCAGCAGUGGGGAAUUUUGGACAAUGGACGCAAGUCUGAUCCAGCCAUUCCGCGUGCAGGAUGAAGGCCCUCGGGUUGUAAACUGCUUUUGUACGGAACGAAAAGGUUUCUCUUAAUACGAGGAGCUCAUGACGGUACCGUAAGAAUAAGCACCGGCUAACUACGUG